This 270-nucleotide long non-coding RNA is filed under the name Vigna radiata. Its description in RNAcentral is "long non-coding RNA (VRAD_LNC010002)". The record is from RNAcentral. Lineage: Eukaryota; Viridiplantae; Streptophyta; Magnoliopsida; Fabales; Fabaceae.
AUGUGUUGAAAAGGUUCAAGUUUGGGGUUAAAUAGGGAAAGUGAAAGGCAAAAGAAAAAGGAAAGCAUUGAGUUCAAAGUAUGAAAAAGAAAAAUGCAUGUGAAAGAAAAGAAAAGAAGAAAAGAGAAAAAGCAUGUAAAGAGAACUCAAUGUAAAAUGAAAAAGGGAAAAAGUUGGGAAUGAGUGAGAUUGGUUAAAAAGAGAGUGUGCUUGAACUUUGAAUGAUGAUUUAAACUCUCUUAACUCAGGGAUUUUGUAUUCUAGAAAAAC